CGCGAGUUUUGUUCAUGAGGGUGCUUCGCAUGCACAGGCCGGACUUGGCCCUGCAGCUCGGAGGGUUUUGCUUUCUCCCCAUUGUGGGAUCCAGAUCCGGUAUUACACGAGCAAGGUAAUUGACAACCUGCGUGAGGAUUUCGGGCCAGAUGACUUCUUGUCAGCACUGCUUCUCAUGGGCGUGUUCUCAGUGGGAAGGUGAGAAGUAUCCUGACCCCCAAAACGUCAGAUGCCUGCAUAAUCCAGGCGCCGAUGAAACAUAAUUACCAUGUGUACGCCUAAAUGCC
This is a long non-coding RNA of Hippocampus comes (tiger tail seahorse), 287 nucleotides long. RefSeq lists it as uncharacterized. Lineage: Eukaryota; Metazoa; Chordata; Actinopteri; Syngnathiformes; Syngnathidae. The transcript is spliced from 2 exons. The record is from RefSeq and is a predicted model, not a curated record.